RNAcentral lists this ribosomal RNA (497 nucleotides) under uncultured bacterium. Its description in RNAcentral is "partial 16S ribosomal RNA". It matches the Rfam family "Bacterial small subunit ribosomal RNA", at positions 28 to 507 of the family's 1533-position model. The record is from RNAcentral.
GAUGAACGCUGGCGGCGUGCCUAAUACAUGCAAGUCGAGCGAACAGACGAGGAGCUUGCUGCUCUGUCGUUAGCGGCGGACGGGAGAGUAACGCGUGGAUAACCUACCUAUAAGACUGGGAUAACUUCGGGAAACCGGAGCUUAUACCGGAUAACAUGCUGAACCGCAUGGUUGAACGGUGAAGUACGGUCUUGCGGGCAGGUAUAGAUGGAUACGCGCCGCAUGAGCUAGUUGGUGCGGUAACGGGUUACGAAGGCAACGAGGCGUAGCCGAAGGAAGAGGGGGAUCGGCCACACGGGAACGGGAACGCGGUCAAGACGCCUACGGGAGGCAGCAGUAUCGUACCUGACGCAAUGGGCGGAAGCCUGACGGAACAAGGCCGCGUGAGUGAAAAAGGUCCUCGGAGCGUAAAACUCGGUUAUUAGGGAAGAACAAAUGUGUAAGUAAAUAUGCACGGCGUGACGGUAAUUAGUAAGAAAGCCACGGCUAACUACGUG